Molecule: ribosomal RNA, 679 nt
Filed under: uncultured archaeon
Lineage: Archaea
Description: bacterial SSU rRNA
Rfam family: Archaeal small subunit ribosomal RNA
Source: RNAcentral
CCCUACGGGGUGCAGCAGGCGCGAAACCUUUACAAUGCGCGAAAGCGUGAUAAGGGGAUACUCAGUGCUUACGCUUCUGGUGUAGGCUUUUGCUGUGUGUAAAAAGCACGGCGAAUAAGUGGUGGGUAAGACUGGUGCCAGCCGCCGCGGUAACACCAGCGCCACGAGUGGUCAUCGCGAUUAUUGGGCCUAAAGCGUUCGUAGCCUGUUUGGUAAAUCUCUUGUGAAAUUGUCCUGCUCAACGGGACAGCGUGCAGGAGACACUACCAGACUCGAGACCGGGAGGGGUUAGAGGUAUUCCAUAGGGACCGGUAAAAUGGGAUAAUCUAUGGAGGACCACCGAUGGCGAAGGCAUCUAACCAGAACGGAUCUGACGGUGAGGAACGAAAGCCAGGGGAGCGAACCGGAUUAGAUACCCGAGUAGUCCUGGCCGUAAACGCUGUGAGCUAGGUGUUGCGCAUCUCACGAAGAUGCGCAGUGUCGAAACGAAGGUGAUAAGCUCACCGCCUGGGAAGUACGGUCGCAAGACUGAAACUUUAAGGAAUUGGCGGGGGCGCACUACAAGGGGUGCGGCGUGCGGUUUAAUCUAACUCCACGCAGAGAACCUUACUAGUGGCGACGGCAGAAUGAAGGCCGUGCUAAAGACACUGCCAGACGAGCCGAGAAGAAGUGCAUGGCC